This 1252-nucleotide ribosomal RNA is filed under the name Bacillus subtilis. Its description in RNAcentral is "bacterial SSU rRNA". It matches the Rfam family "Bacterial small subunit ribosomal RNA", at positions 44 to 1295 of the family's 1533-position model. Lineage: Bacteria; Bacillati; Bacillota; Bacilli; Caryophanales; Bacillaceae. The record is from RNAcentral.
GUGUCUACGUAUACGAUGAGCUCGAGCGCAUGAGCGGAUGGAUCUCUUCGUUGUGAUCGCUUCUCGGGUGAGUUUGCGUGGGUAACGGGGCUGGCUGAUGGGAUGCUCCGGGGAAUACUUGCUUUCCCGGAUGGUUGUCUGAACCGCAUGGUACCGACAUGAAAGGUGGUUUCGGUUACCUGUUGCGAUGGGCCCGCUCCUUUUAGCUAGUUGGUGAGGUAACGGCUCACCAAGGCGACGAUGCGUAGCCGACCUGAGAGGGUGAUCGGCCACACUGGGACUGAGACACGGCCCAGACUCCUACGGGAGGCAGCAGUAGGGAAUCUUCCGCAAUGGACGAAAGUCUGACGGAGCAACGCCGCGUGAGUGAUGAAGGUUUUCGGAUCGUAAAGCUCUGUUGUUAGGGAAGAACAAGUGCCGUUCAAAUAGGGCGGCACCUUGACGGUACCUAACCAGAAAGCCACGGCUAACUACGUGCCAGCAGCCGCGGUAAUACGUAGGUGGCAAGCGUUGUCCGGAAUUAUUGGGCGUAAAGGGCUCGCAGGCGGUUUCUUAAGUCUGAUGUGAAAGCCCCCGGCUCACCGGGGAGGGUCAUUGGAAACUGGGGAACUUGAGUGCAGAAGAGGAGAGUGGAAUUCCACGUGUAGCGGUGAAAUGCGUAGAGAUGUGGAGGAACACCAGUGGCGAAGGCGACUCUCUGGUCUGNUACUGACGCUGAGGAGCGAAAGCGUGGGGAGCGAACAGGAUUAGAUACCCUGGUAGUCCACGCCGUNAACGAUGAGUGCUAAGUGUUAGGGGGGUUUUCCGCCCUUAGUGCUGCAGCUAACGCAUUAAGCACUCCGCCCUGGGGAGUACGGUCGCAAGACUNGAAACUCAAGGAAUUGANCGGGGGCCGCACAAGCGGUGGAGCAUGUGGUUUAAUUUCGAAGCACGCGAAGAACCUUACCAGGUCUUGACAUCCUCUNGACAUCCUAGAGAUAGGACGUCCCCCUUCGGGGCAGAGUGACAGGUGGUGCAUGGUUGUCGUCAGCUCGUGUCCUGAAAUGUUGGGUUAAGUCCCGCAACGAGCGCAACCCUUGAUCUUAGUUGCCAGCAUUUCAUUUGGCACUCUUAAGUGACUGCCGGUGACAAACCGGAGGAAGGUGGGGAUGACCUCAAUCCUCAUGCCCUUAUGACUGGGCUACCACGUGCUACAUGGACAAAACAAGGCAGCCAACCGCCAGUUAACCCAUCCACAAUCUGUCUUCAUUCG